RNAcentral lists this ribosomal RNA (478 nucleotides) under fungal sp. A561. Its description in RNAcentral is "eukaryotic LSU rRNA". The stretch from base 120 to 273 matches the Rfam family "5.8S ribosomal RNA". Lineage: Eukaryota; Fungi. The record is from RNAcentral.
CAUACCUAUACGUUGCCUCGGCGGAUCAGCCCGCGCCCCGUAAAAAGGGACGGCCCGCCCGAGGACCCCUAAACUCUGUUUUUAGUGGAACUUCUGAGUAAAACAAACAAAUAAAUCAAAACUUUCAACAACGGAUCUCUUGGUUCUGGCAUCGAUGAAGAACGCAGCAAAAUGCGAUAAGUAAUGUGAAUUGCAGAAUUCAGUGAAUCAUCGAAUCUUUGAACGCACAUUGCGCCCGCCAGUAUUCUGGCGGGCAUGCCUGUUCGAGCGUCAUUUCAACCCUCAAGCUCAGCUUGGUGUUGGGACUCGCGGUAACCCGCGUUCCCCAAAUCGAUUGGCGGUCACGUCGAGCUUCCAUAGCGUAGUAAUCAUACACCUCGUUACUGGUAAUCGUCGCGGCCACGCCGUAAAACCCCAACUUCUGAAUGUUGACCUCGGAUCAGGUAGGAAUACCCGCUGAACUUAAGCAUAUCAAUAA